Molecule: ribosomal RNA, 253 nt
Filed under: uncultured bacterium
Lineage: Bacteria
Description: partial 16S ribosomal RNA
Rfam family: Bacterial small subunit ribosomal RNA
Source: RNAcentral
UACGAGUGCCCCAAGCGUUAUCCGGAAUCAUUGGGCGUAAAGAGCGUGUAGGCGGCCAGGUAGGUCCGAUGUGAAAACUGGAGGCUCAACCUCCAGCUGUCAUUGGAAACCCUCUGGCUAGAGUCCGGAAGAGGAGAGUGGAAUUCCUGGUGUAGCGGUGAAAUGCGCAGAUAUCAGGAAGAACACCUAUGGCGAAGGCAGCUCUCUGGGACGGUACUGACGCUGAGACGCGAAAGCGUGGGGAGCGAACAGG